This 23-nucleotide non-coding RNA is filed under the name Mus musculus (house mouse). The record is from RNAcentral. Lineage: Eukaryota; Metazoa; Chordata; Mammalia; Rodentia; Muridae.
UGAAAUUUGUUGUUCUGCCUCCC